ACAGCAGUCGCCGCGGUAAUACGAAGGGUGCAAGCGUUACUCGGAAUUACUGGGCGUAAAGCGUGCGUAGGUGGUGGUUUAAGUCCGUUGUGAAAGCCCUGGGCUCAACCUGGGAAUUGCAGUGGAUACUGGGUCACUAGAGUGUGGUAGAGGAUAGUGGAAUUUCCGGUGUAGCAGUGAAAUGCGUAGAGAUCGGAAGGAACACCUGUGGCGAAGGCGACUAUCUGGGCCAACACUGACACUGAGGCACGAAAGCGUGGGGAGCAAACAGGAUUAGAGACCCCUGUAGUCCCUGUCUCUUAUAC
Molecule: ribosomal RNA, 305 nt
Filed under: uncultured bacterium
Lineage: Bacteria
Description: partial 16S ribosomal RNA
Rfam family: Bacterial small subunit ribosomal RNA
Source: RNAcentral